UACAGAGGUCCCAAGCGUUGUUCGGAUUCAUUGGGCGUAAAGGGUGCGUAGGCGGCGCGGUAAGUCGGGUGUGAAAUCUCGGAGCUUAACUCCGAAACUGCAUUCGAUACUGCCGUGCUUGAGGACUGGAGAGGAGACUGGAAUUUACGGUGUAGCGGUGAAAUGCGUAGAUAUCGUAAGGAAGACCAGUGGCGAAGGCGGGUCUCUGGACAGUUCCUGACGCUGAUGCACGAAGGCCAGGGGAGCAAACGGG
This 253-nucleotide ribosomal RNA is filed under the name uncultured bacterium. RNAcentral describes it as "partial 16S ribosomal RNA". It matches the Rfam family "Bacterial small subunit ribosomal RNA", at positions 524 to 776 of the family's 1533-position model. The record is from RNAcentral.